RNAcentral lists this ribosomal RNA (492 nucleotides) under Termitomyces striatus. RNAcentral describes it as "eukaryotic LSU rRNA". It matches the Rfam family "Eukaryotic large subunit ribosomal RNA", at positions 72 to 569 of the family's 3401-position model. The record is from RNAcentral. Lineage: Eukaryota; Fungi; Basidiomycota; Agaricomycetes; Agaricales; Lyophyllaceae.
GGAUUCCCCUAGUAACUGCGAGUGAAGCGGGAAAAGCUCAAAUUUAAAAUCUGGUAGUCUCUGGCUGCCCGAGUUGUAAUCUAGAGAAGCAUUAUCCGCGCUGGACCGUGUAUAAGUGUCCUGGAAUGGACCAUCAUAGAGGGUGAGAAUCCCGUCUUUGACACGGACUCCCAGGGCUUUGUGAUGUGCUCUCAAAGAGUCGAGUUGUUUGGGAAUGCAGCUCUAAAUGGGUGGUAAAUUCCAUCUAAAGCUAAAUAUUGGCGAGAGACCGAUAGCGAACAAGUACCGUGAGGGAAAGAUGAAAAGAACUUUGGAAAGAGAGUUAAACAGUACGUGAAAUUGCUGAAAGGGAAACGCUUGAAGUCAGUCGCGUUGGCUGGGGAUCAACCUUGGCUUGGCUUACUUCCCAGUUGACGGGUCAGCAUCAGUUUUGACCGGUGGAUAAAGGCUAGGGGAAUGUGGCACCUACGGGUGUGUUAUAGCCCUUGGUCA